RNAcentral lists this unclassified non-coding RNA (1034 nucleotides) under Hevea brasiliensis (rubber tree). The record is from RNAcentral. Lineage: Eukaryota; Viridiplantae; Streptophyta; Magnoliopsida; Malpighiales; Euphorbiaceae.
AAAAAAAAAAAAAAAAGAAGGGAGAUCUGGCAAAUGUAUGGGUUUGAAAUGGAUAUCUUUCCUAAAAAAUUCUUCUUUAUAUCUUUUCAUUUCGUUGUUUGCAUUGUUAACUGAGAUAGGAGGAGAAUGUAUUUUGACUAUUGUGCUUAGGUUUUGAUUUGAAGCAUUUGUGAUGAUUUGGCAUAUAAGAUUGUUUACAGGUUUUAUGCAUCGGUAAAGUUACUUUACUUGUGACCUGGAGAACAUGGGUUCGAGUCACAGAAAUAUUCUCUCUACAAAGAAUGGGGUAAGGUUGCAUAUAUUAACUCUUACUAGAGCUCAAUUGUGGGAUGUUUCAUGCACAAGGGUAUCUAAAAUAAGUGCUCUCAUGGAGAGGAUGGUACAGAUAUUAUUUUAUUUUUAUCAGGUUAUAUAUGUAUUCCAUUUAAAAUGACAGCAUUUAGGCUGAAUGAACUGCCUUUUAUAAGUGAAAUGCAAUUUUUUGGUGCUUGCUUGUUCAUAGAAUGAUACUGUCUUCUCAAAAAGCCUGCUGCUUAGUUGUAAUAGAUCAUCAAAUCUUGAACAAGGUAAACAGGUCAAAUUUAAAAAAAAAUAUUCUGAGUAACUUCAUGUCAUUGUAAACAAUUGUCUCAUUUGUUUGCCAAUUAUGCAAAUUUUAUGAGGGUCUGCACCAGAAACAAAUAUAUUUGAUAUUAUUUUGACCAAUACAGAAUUUUGUGGGCAGUGUAUAAUGCAAGUUAAGGUGUCGGUCUUGGACUUGAGAUGUUAAAUCUCUAAUAUCCCUAUAAACUUAUUAGUUAGUCAUGUAUUUUAAAAAAUUACAUUAGUUAGUCUUUGUAUUUUAAUUUGGUUAAUUUGGUUAACUUUUAAUCUUUACGGUUAUUUUAGGCGUUAUUGAAGCAUGAAAAAGUAAAAAAUGCCCUUGUUCCUUAAUUAGUUUCAAUUAACGUAAUAAAUUCCCAAUUUUUCUUCAAUCCUCAAAUCCGAAAUUCCCUCUUCCAUUUCAUAGCUUAAAGCUUCAAUUAAUUAUUUAG